GUAGGUGGCAAGCGUUGUCCGGAAUUAUUGGGCGUAAAGCGCGCGCAGGCGGUUCUUUAAGUCUGAUGUGAAAGCCCACGGCUCAACCGUGGAGGGUCAUUGGAAACUGGAGAACUUGAGUACAGAAGAGGAAAGCGGAAUUCCACGUGUAGCGGUGAAAUGCGUAGAGAUGUGGAGGAACACCAGUGGCGAAGGCGGCUUUUCUGGUCUGUAACUGACGCUGAGGCGCGAAAGCGUGGGGAGCAAACAGGGAUUAGAUACCCUGGUAGUCCACGCCGUAAACGAUGAGUGCUAAGUGUUAGGGGGGUUUCCGCCCCCCUUAGUGCUGCAGCUAACGCAUUAAGCACUCCGCCUGGGGAGUACGGCCGCAAGGCUG
RNAcentral lists this ribosomal RNA (376 nucleotides) under uncultured organism. Its description in RNAcentral is "partial 16S ribosomal RNA". It matches the Rfam family "Bacterial small subunit ribosomal RNA", at positions 527 to 896 of the family's 1533-position model. The record is from RNAcentral.